GCCCUCGUCGCAUAAUGGUAUUGCAUCCGCCUCGAAAGCGGAGUCCUCUGGACAACCAGGUUCGAUUCCUGGCGAGGGCG
RNAcentral lists this transfer RNA (80 nucleotides) under Candidatus Pacearchaeota archaeon ex4484_71. Its description in RNAcentral is "tRNA-Ser". It matches the Rfam family "tRNA". Rfam says of the family: Transfer RNA (tRNA) molecules are approximately 80 nucleotides in length. Their secondary structure includes four short double-helical elements and three loops (D, anti-codon, and T loops). RNAcentral also lists the same sequence under 1 other name. Lineage: Archaea; Nanobdellati. The record is from RNAcentral.